GUGGGGAAUAUUGGACAAUGGGCGCAAGCCUGAUCCAGCCAUGCCGCGUGAGUGAUGAAGGCCUUAGGGUUGUAAAGCUCUUUCACCGAUGAAGAUAAUGACGGUAGUCGGAGAAGAAGCCCCGGCUAACUUCGUGCCAGCAGCCGCGGUAAUACGAAGGGGGCUAGCGUUGUUCGGAAUUACUGGGCGUAAAGCGCACGUAGGCGGAUAUUUAAGUCAGGGGUGAAAUCCCGCAGCUCAACUGCGGAACUGCCUUUGAUACUGGGUAUCUUGAGUAUGGAAGAGGUAAGUGGAAUUCCGAGUGUAGAGGUGAAAUUCGUAGAUAUUCGGAGGAACACCAGUGGCGAAGGCGGCUUACUGGUCCAUUACUGACGCUGAGGUGCGAAAGCGUGGGGAGCAA
This 400-nucleotide ribosomal RNA is filed under the name uncultured Rhizobium sp. RNAcentral's name for it is "bacterial SSU rRNA". It matches the Rfam family "Bacterial small subunit ribosomal RNA", at positions 354 to 771 of the family's 1533-position model. Lineage: Bacteria; Pseudomonadati; Pseudomonadota; Alphaproteobacteria; Hyphomicrobiales; Rhizobiaceae. The record is from RNAcentral.